RNAcentral lists this non-coding RNA (48 nucleotides) under Schistosoma mansoni. Lineage: Eukaryota; Metazoa; Platyhelminthes; Trematoda; Strigeidida; Schistosomatidae. The record is from RNAcentral.
AUCCAGCUAACGAUUCCCAAAUAGAACGAAACGCGCGUCAAACUGGAU